This 492-nucleotide ribosomal RNA is filed under the name uncultured bacterium. RNAcentral describes it as "partial 16S ribosomal RNA". It matches the Rfam family "Bacterial small subunit ribosomal RNA", at positions 29 to 507 of the family's 1533-position model. The record is from RNAcentral.
AGUGAACGCUGGCGGUAGGCCUAACACAUGCAAGUCGAACGGCAGCACAGUAAGAGCUUGCUCUUACGGGUGGCGAGUGGCGGACGGGUGAGGAAUACAUCGGAAUCUACUUUUUCGUGGGGGAUAACGUAGGGAAACUUACGCUAAUACCGCAUACGACCUACGGGUGAAAGCAGGGGAUCUUCGGACCUUGCGCGAUUGAAUGAGCCGAUGUCGGAUUAGCCAGUUGGCGGGGUAAAGGCCCACCAAGGCGACGAUCCGUAGCUGGUCUGAGAGGAUGAUCAGCCACACUGGAACUGAGACACGGUCCAGACUCCUACGGGAGGCAGCAGUGGGGAAUAUUGGACAAUGGGCGCAGGCCUGAUCCAGCCAUACCGCGUGGGUGAAGAAGGCCUUCGGGUUGUAAAGCCCUUUUGUUGGGAAAGAAAAGCAGCAGGUUAAUACCCCGCUGUUCUGACGGUACCCAAAGAAUAAGCACCGGCUAACUUCGUG